This 433-nucleotide ribosomal RNA is filed under the name uncultured bacterium. RNAcentral describes it as "partial 16S ribosomal RNA". It matches the Rfam family "Bacterial small subunit ribosomal RNA", at positions 29 to 507 of the family's 1533-position model. The record is from RNAcentral.
AACGAACGCUGGCGGCAUGCCUAACACAUGCAAGUCGAACGAGACCUUCGGGUCUAGUGGCGCACGGGUGCGUAACGCGUGGGAACCUGCCCUUAGGUUCGGAAUAACCCCCCGAAAGGGGUGCUAAUACCGGAUAAUGUCUUCGGACCAAAGAUUUAUCGCCUUUGGAUGGGCCCGCGUUGGAUUAGCUAGUUGGUAGGGUAAUAGCCUACCAAGGCGACGAUCCAUAGCUGGUCUGAGAGGAUGAUCAGCCACACUGGGACUGAGACACGGCCCAGACUCCUACGGGAGGCAGCAGUGGGGAAUAUUGGACAAUGGGCGAAAGCCUGAUCCAGCAAUGCCGCGUGAGUGAUGAAGGCCUUAGGGUUGUAAAGCUCUUUUACCCGGGAUGAUAAUGACAGUACCGGGAGAAUAAGCUCCGGCUAACUCCGUG